Molecule: long non-coding RNA, 1330 nt
Filed under: Anas platyrhynchos platyrhynchos (common mallard)
Lineage: Eukaryota; Metazoa; Chordata; Aves; Anseriformes; Anatidae
Description: lncRNA (ENSAPLG00000023293.1)
Source: RNAcentral
CAAAUUUUGGUCCUACAAUAUGUAGUAAAAAAUAAUUAACCUAAAAUUUUUCUGUCAUUCACACACACAUCUAGGAAACAUUUCUUAGUUAAGACUAGCUUUUCUGGAAUAAGCAAGAAUAUGAUCACUUUCUUCUGUGAUCAUCUGUUGUCAGCUCUGCAUCCCUCAGGCUUUUUUGUUACUCUUGUUUUGAUUUAUCAUUUGAUCUUUUCCAUUUUGUCAUCUUUGAACACAACUGAAAUCCAGCAAUGAGGAUCACAUGAAAAAGAGUACAUUUUUGUGAGCAUUAAAAGCUGAAAUAAUCUAAUAAGAUGCUUUCCUCUCUGUCUCCCAGAAUGGGGGAUUCAGUCCUGAUUUACCUGGCUCCUCCCAUGGACCUCUGAAGACCAACACAACCAUGUUCCUUCCUGAGGCACCACUGAAGACAGAUAGAAUUUGUAGUCCCAAAUGUGGACAACACUCACAGAAAUAGGCUUCCAGCAGGAUCAAGAUGAGGGAAGAGGAAAGGUUGACUACUUUUGAGAUGCAAUUGAUUGAAUAUUGAAGUGGGAGCUGGGCCCUAAGAGCUGGAAAGAGGGAUGUACACUAGGUUUAUCAUGUGGUUUCAUGUGGCUUUACUUUAGUUUUCUGGUCUAUAAAGCUAGUCUCAGAAGUACGUGCUGUCCUAUAGUCACAAGUUAAGGUCCCAAAUGAAGCCAAGCCCAUGAGCUGUGGCAUAGGAUCCCAAGAGCACAAGACCUAGGGCCAACCUGUAAUAAACCUGAGCUGAGAGCAGGGAGGUGGCAUGGGUUCACAUAGCCUGUACAUGGCACAGGCACAGCUGUGAGGGCUGAGAGCAGAAAUCAAAGGCUUGAAUCUUGUCUACAAUAGGUGUGAUUUGACAAGGCUUCCAUGAAACAUAGGAUAAGUCAGGUUGGAAGGUACAUCAGGAGUUCACUGGUCCAACCUCCUGUCAUUCUUGCAGCUUUAUUGGGAGCCUUUUAUUUAUCUGUGAAGACCUCAUGCUAUCUCUGCUUGUUGUGCUGCAUGUAUGAAGUCCCAUUCUGAACUAGAGUCCAUGCAAAUCAUGAAACCCAACAAGCCUUUCCACUGAGAAGGAAGGAAUUUGCUCCACAAAUGCAUGGACACAAGUCAUUUCCCCAGAGUAACAUCAGAAGAGAAGCUUUAAUCUCCCAUCUAACCCUCUGCAUAUAAAGUUAUAGGUUAUCCUUUGCUUUGCAGAGGCUACACUGUAAUAAUUGAGUCCUUUAUCUGUAACUACCUCCAUCCAGGCUCCCUGGACUUUUGCAAUGACAAUAAAAGUUAAUAAAAGCUUCGGAAUAUAUUCUUA